This 391-nucleotide unclassified non-coding RNA is filed under the name soil metagenome. RNAcentral describes it as "partial contains 5.8S ribosomal RNA, internal transcribed spacer 2, and large subunit ribosomal RNA". The stretch from base 1 to 122 matches the Rfam family "5.8S ribosomal RNA", at positions 35 to 154 of the family's 154-position model. The record is from RNAcentral.
GAUGAAGAACGCAGUGAAAUGCGAUACUUGGUGUGAAUUGCAGAAUCCCGUGAACCAUCGAGUCUUUGAACGCAAGUUGCGCCCGAAGCCACUAGGCCGAGGGCACGCCUGCCUGGGCGUCACACGCCGUUGCCCCCCCAUCUACUCCUUCGGGAUUGCGGGGGGGCGGAUGAUGGCCUCCCGUGCGCCUAGCCGCGCGGUUGGCAUAAAUACCAAGUCCUCGGCGACGCACGCCACGACAAUCGGUGGUUGCGAAACCUCGGUUGCCCGUCGUGUGCGUUCGUCGCGCAUCGAGGGCUCGAAAAAAUGCUCGGCUCCGGCUGGGCUUUCAACGCGACCCCAGGUCAGGCGGGGUCACCCGCUGAAUUUAAGCAUAUCAAUAAGCGGAGGA